AUGAGGGGGAAGCUGGGGAGGGGACACUGGUUUCAUUCCGGCCUGGCCUCCACCUUGAGGGCGGGGCGCUCGGCCACAGGUGGUCACGGCACCUGCGGGGUCAGCCUCCCUCCCGCUGUGGGUGGCCAGGGAGCCCGGUGGUCAGGCGUUCGUCUGGUGGCCCCGGGAGUCACGCGGCCUCCCCGAGCCGCGGUGUGUCCUCCCUUAGAGCCAGGGCCGAGAAUCUCACAGACCCCUCGGGUCGACCUCCAGGCUCAGCGCCUGCCACGAGGUGGGCACUGGGGGAGUGGAGGUGUCACCACCCGGAAACCAGCCUCGCUGGCACACACCUGCUUCACUCCCUCCCUCCCAGCAAAAUCGCAAAGGACGAGACGUUUAUGUUUGUUUGAAAGGCAGAGAAGUUUGUUUGUAAAUCAGCGCAGCGGACACGGCUUCAAGCAGCCAGGUGGUGGCGGAGCUGGGACCAGAGCCCCGGCCUCGCGCCCGUCUCUCAGGGCCACCUGGCCGCGGCCGGCCGCCCGGUGUCUGCCCCCAGCGCGUGAAUUCCCAGGAGCUGCAAACAAAGAGCCGGGGUUGGGGUUCGGACUCAUCAACACUCCCACGUGGGUGACUCACCUGGGAGCUGAACAAGAGCACAGAGCACCUGCCCCGGCACAUUCCCGCCCCCUGACCCGAGGCCCGUGUGCGCAGGGGAGGGAGGGCCUGUGGCGCAGACCGCAGGGGCUGGGGCUGCCGUCCCCGGCCUGGGGCCCGAACCCCCUGGGACGCCCAGGGUCGCCCCCUUGGUCUGAGAGCAGAAUGUGGACCCGGGGUGGGAGCGGGGCCUGGGGCCCAGGGCCCGGGGGUCACAGGCGGGGAAGCAGCUUGCAGAUUUUACAGGUCACAUUAUCUUUUAUGGGCAUCCUAAAAAGAAUGUCAGGCACUGGAGGGCUUUUUUCCCCUCUCCCUCUCCCUUCCUCUCUCCCUUCCUCUCUCCCCGUCUCUCCCUCCUUCUCUCUCUCCCUCUCCCUCUCUGAUUUGCAUCAGUGCAGGAUUUUUAUCGCAGGCCCGGCCAGAGGGGCUGGGGGGCCCCAGAGGCGGCAGCCGAGGGCUGGGCCCCGGGGAGCCGGGUGUUGGGGCCCCCACCCUGUGAGGCGCCCAGUGCGCCCUUCCCUCGCCCGGCGCCUCCGCCCCCAGGACAGCUGGUCCGUCCAGGGGGCUGCUGGCUUCCAGCAUCGGCUCUCUGCCUGCUUCUCCCACUCCGGGGGCCCCGGAUCCCCGUGA
This 1263-nucleotide long non-coding RNA is filed under the name Canis lupus dingo (dingo). RNAcentral describes it as "lncRNA (ENSCAFG00020022014.1)". Lineage: Eukaryota; Metazoa; Chordata; Mammalia; Carnivora; Canidae. The record is from RNAcentral.